RNAcentral lists this ribosomal RNA (253 nucleotides) under uncultured bacterium. RNAcentral describes it as "partial 16S ribosomal RNA". It matches the Rfam family "Bacterial small subunit ribosomal RNA", at positions 524 to 776 of the family's 1533-position model. The record is from RNAcentral.
UACGGAGGAGGCAAGCGUUAUCCGGAAUUAUUGGGCGUAAAGCGUCCGCAGGUGGCUAUUCAAGUCUGCGGUCAAAGACUGGGGCUUAACCCUGGAAAGGCCGUGGAAACUGAAGAGCUAGAGUGCAGUAGGGGUAGAGGGAAUUCCCGGUGUAGCGGUGAAAUGCGUAGAGCUCGGGAAGAACAUCGGUGGCGAAAGCGCUCUGCUGGACUGCAACUGACACUCAGGGACGAAGGCCAGGGGAGCAAACGGG